RNAcentral lists this ribosomal RNA (253 nucleotides) under uncultured bacterium. RNAcentral's name for it is "partial 16S ribosomal RNA". It matches the Rfam family "Bacterial small subunit ribosomal RNA", at positions 524 to 776 of the family's 1533-position model. The record is from RNAcentral.
UACGAAGGGGGCUAGCGUUGUUCGGAAUCACUGGGCGUAAAGCGCACGCAGGCGGAUCGAUAAGUCGGGGGUGAAAGCCCGGGGCUCAACCUCGGAAUUGCCUUCGAUACUGUCGGUCUCGAGUCCGGGAGAGGUGAGUGGAAUUCCUAGUGUGGAGGUGAAAUUCGUAGAUAUUAGGAAGAACACCAGUGGCGAAGGCGGCUCACUGGCCGGGUACUGACGAUCAGGUGCGAAAGCGUGGGGAGCAAACAGG